AAAUUAUAUUGUGCAAAUGGUGCAGUAUCCUAGUUGAUAUAUUUGUUAUGAAGACGAGCCUAAAAAUUCGUUAAAGAGCACAUCUGUGAAACUUUUUGUGUUUGCUUUGGUCGCCCAGACUGGGGUGGAUGCUGAAAGGAUAGUUUUAUGGGAAACUUAUAACGGCAUAUAAGCAGAACCCAUAUUACGUGGAGACUUAAUCUUGUGCUUUAGCCUUGACUUUAGUACGAAUUAAGAUUAAACCUAUUUUGAGGCGAAAGCUUUGAGUAGCGUAGCUUGCCUUGAGUGAAUAUCUUGGGAUUAUAGAAAAAUGUAAAAUAAUAGUGGCCAUAUUAAUUUAUAUGUUAUUGCUAUAUGAAAUUGUAUUUGCAAAAAAGACUAGUAACGAAUCAAUAUCACAGUGAGGAAAACUCCUAGGCUGUUUGCCUGCAUAAGAUUGCAGUGCGUACUUAGUGGUAAUCAAGUCAUAUAUUCGGAAACGGUAUAUACAUUUAUUAAAGGGGAACCGCCUUUUGGUAACGAAAGGUUAAAUCGUGGGAAAUCCUACUUGACCUAUGACGCAAAGUUUAUUAUGCUGGUACCAGGCAUUUUUUUUAACUU
This is a non-coding RNA of Clostridium sp. CAG:433, 600 nucleotides long. Lineage: Bacteria; Bacillati; Bacillota; Clostridia; Eubacteriales; Clostridiaceae. The record is from Rfam.